GACGAACGCUGGCGGCGUGCUUAACACAUGCAAGUCGAGCGGUAAGGCCCUUUCGGGGGUACACGAGCGGCGAACGGGUGAGUAACACGUGGGUGACCUGCCCUCAGCUCUGGGAUAGGCCUGGGAAACCGGGUCUAAUACUGGAUAUGACUCCAUGACGCAUGUUGUGGGGUGGAAAGCCCUGUGCGGCUGAGGAUGGGCCCGCGGCCUAUCAGCUUGUUGGUGGGGUGANGGCCUACCAAGGCGACGACGGGUAGCCGGCCUGAGAGGGCGACCGGCCACACUGGGACUGAGACACGGCCCAGACUCCUACGGGAGGCAGCAGUGGGGAAUCUUGCGCAAUGGGCGAAAGCCUGACGCAGCGACGCCGCGUGAGGGAUGACGGCCU
This 388-nucleotide ribosomal RNA is filed under the name uncultured bacterium. RNAcentral describes it as "bacterial SSU rRNA". It matches the Rfam family "Bacterial small subunit ribosomal RNA", at positions 28 to 417 of the family's 1533-position model. The record is from RNAcentral.